Molecule: long non-coding RNA, 661 nt
Filed under: Gadus morhua (Atlantic cod)
Lineage: Eukaryota; Metazoa; Chordata; Actinopteri; Gadiformes; Gadidae
Description: lncRNA (ENSGMOG00000029611.1)
Source: RNAcentral
GGAUAUAAAUUAUAUCUGUAUUAUAUAUAAUAUUUAUUUUAAAGGGUCAAAUAACAACAUGAUUUGGUGAAAUGUCAUGUAAAAAUUGUGUCAUUUUGUUUAUCACUUUAUUAUCUUAAUUUUUUACAUGAGUUUUAAACCUGUAUGCAUUCUAAUUCAAUAUAGAGGGAUGGAUGGAUGGAUGGAUAGAUAGAUGUAUACUUUAUUGAUCCCCAGGGGAAAUUUGUAGCUGCUUUCAUGAGAUGGUGCUUCUCUUGACUAUGUAGGUGCUUGGAGCUGCGUGACGUCUGUGAGCUUUGAUAGUCUGUUAUCGGAGGAUUUGAACGGCAUUUAGCUGCUGGCCUGGCUCAAUAAAUCCCUACGUACCUGCUUCACUAAGGUGGACCCGAAGUGCACAGUCCGUGCCUGUGGAGGCGCUACUGAGAAGGGAUGUUCCUGCCUGUCUGAAGUUCCUGCAGUCCUUCAAGGCCUUCUUUGAUAGGCAAACCGCGGGCAGGACGAACACUCUGAAGGGCAGGAAAGGACGCAGCAUAGGGCCUGUUGCCCCAGGAGAAACUACGACUGUGACAACGGACGACAAAGCACUGGACCAACCAAAGGCACUGACGAAGAGGCUGGGGAAAAACGACUGACGAAGUGCAUGGCCUACCAAAGACGACCA